Molecule: ribosomal RNA, 271 nt
Filed under: uncultured bacterium
Lineage: Bacteria
Description: partial 16S ribosomal RNA
Rfam family: Bacterial small subunit ribosomal RNA
Source: RNAcentral
UACAGAGGGUGCGAGCGUUAAUCGGAUUUACUGGGCGUAAAGGGCGCGUAGGCGGUUGUAUGAGUGUGAUGUGAAAGCCCCGGGCUCAACCUGGGAAGUGCAUCGCAAACGAUACGACUAGAGUAUAUGAGAGGGUGGCGGAAUUUCCGGUGUAGCGGUGAAAUGCGUAGAUAUAGGAAGGAACACCAGUGGCGAAGGCGACCACCUGGACUGAUACUGACACUGAGGUGCGAAAGCGUGGGGAGCAAACAGGAUUAGAAACCCGAGUAGU